UAGCUAACUAGUAAUCUAUAGAAACCAAGAUUUAAAAUACAUAUUUUAAAUAUGUAUUUAUAUUUCAUAUGUAUUCUCCCAAAAGAAAUACAUAGGUGUAACAAACUUGUACAGUAUUUAUAUACCAAAUCUACAAAACACUGAUGAAAGAAAUCAAAGACCUAAACAAGACAGUGUGACUGCCAAACACUCAAGACAAUAACAAUAUCAAUUGUUUUCAAUUUGACAUACAGAUUGAACAAAAGUCCUAACACCACAGCAAGAUGUUUUGAAGGUAAAGACAAGAUUCUAAAAUUUAUAUGGAAAGGCCAAGAAACUAGAAUUGUUUUCAAAAAUUUUAAGGAAGAAUAAAAUGGGAGAAAUCACUACCUGAUUUCAAGAUAAGUAGCUGCAAUAAUCAGGAGUGCAUGGUAUUAGCAGAAGAAUGGAUACAAUGGAAUAGAAUAGAGAACCAAAUACAUACCCAUGUGAUUAUGCUCAAGUGAUUUUAGACAAGGGUUCAAAAGUAAUCUAGUAGAGGACAAUAGCCUUUUCAACAAAUGAUGCUGAAGAACUUGGACAAUCCUGGCUUAAAUAUCUUGACCUUAACUUCACAGCAGGACAGAUUAUUUAAUGUAGGAGAAGAAAUCCUGGUGUGCUAUUGUACAGUAGAUGGUGGUUAAUUGGUCAACCUGAGUAAGGAACGCCCCUCUGAGUUAAGUCCAUAAGAUUCUGGAUGCCUAAGACCCACUUUAAGGAGGAUUGUUGUUGGAGCAAUAUAAAAGGAGAACAGUAAGGAAGGAUUUCAGCUGAUUUCCCUUGGAAGAGCUUCAUUGAGGCUGAUUUUCCUCCGAGUUGCGUCAGCUGUUCUCUUCGGAGGAGCUCCUCUCUUUCCCUUCACCUUAGACAUCAUCUCCAGGCUUUUGGCACGGACUCUUCAGCUUCCCGCAGCGACCCUUUGACUUCUUUGCCUGACCCUUUGGUCUUCCCUCACGGAUCCUUCGGCCUCCUGAUGCGGAGCCUACGUUGCUGUGGGCUCACAGGCCUCAGCUGGAUCCUUCAGAUUUCUAGCACACAGACAGAUCUCUUGCACUCUUUUACAUUUGAAUCUGCGUGACCACUGUAGGCCGAUCUUGUAAAUUUCUGUGUCCUACAUUAAAUCUGAAUCACAGCGUGUGCUGUCUUUUGAGGAGCCUUGCCCCAACCUGCACGUUCUUCUGAGCCCUGACUAAUACCGUGAUGUACUAUUAGUUUAUAAAACUAGAAAAAAGGACAGAAUUUUUUUUUAAUAAAAAUGAUGCACUGCCUGCCUCGCAAGCCCAAGGUCCCGAAUUUGAUCCCCGGUACAAAAAAAAAAAAAAAAGAUGUUUGAGCAGAUAGCUAUGUUUAGCCUUAUUUGAGCACUGCACAAUAUACACAUGUAUCAGUACAUCUCAUAGAAUUUUAGUGUUUAAAAUUUUUUUAAACAAAUUAUCUCAAAAUGAGUAUACAUUUGAAAGUGAAAUGUAGACAGUAACAUGAGAAAAUCUUCAGGGCCUAAGGCUUUGUGAAGAAUUGCUAGACAUGACAACAAAACAGGAUGUGUAAAAGAAAAAAAAAGGUAAAUGUGAGUUCUCCAAAAUUUAAAAGUUUUAUUCUGAAAAUCAACAAGCUACACAGAAAACAUAUUCACAAAUCACAAAUUCAACAAAAGACUUAUAUCUAAAAGAAUUCUCAAAACAUUAAUUCAACAGUGAAAAAAUCCUUUGUGAGUUAAAUUCAUAUCCUGGUAAAUUACAAAACAAGUGUAUAGCCUAUCACCACUGUAAGCAAAAAUUGUCAUGAUUGCAUGUGUUUCAGAAUAUAUGAUUAAGGAAAGAGUGAAUUUUACUUUUCAGCAUGAACCCUUAGUCUUCUGUUAAAACCAGCUGUACUCAAAAUUGUGCAGGAUUCUGUCCAGUUACCCCAAAUUAUCUUUGGUUUUAGAGAAUCCAAAAUGAAAAUUACUGUAACAAAUAUAUAGCUACAAAGAGAAAGGUUUUCUUUUUGCUCCCAAAGUAACUAAAUGAAACAGAAAGCAAAAGUACCAGAAAACCUUCUGAGAGAGCCCUGUAUUGUUCUAAAUGUCUGUGUUCAGGAAGGGUUGUGACAUGCUGGCCAAAGGAGUUGUUAUUUUUAAUUCCUACAUUUUUAUACACAUAACUACUUUUGAUAGUAACUAAAUUUAUAUGAAUGAUUUAAAAUAAGUUGACUAUUUUCUUGCCUGUGACAUGAAAGUUUUCAUCAAAUAGAUGAUGUUUUUUAAAACCUCUUGGCUAACCUUUUAAUUUUUAAAUACAGACAUAUAUAUUUGAUUUAAUUUUUUUCUGUUCCCUAGUGAACUGAGCACUGCAAAGAUUUCCUUUCCACAGUUCCACCCUCCUGUUCCCUCUGAUGGACCACAGCCCAUAAAACCACCAUCUUGAUGUCACUCUUCCAACAGUUUUGGCCACAUCUCUAUCCACCUUGCAAAAUGACUUCCAGGCCAUGUUCUCUGGCAGCCUCCCCUUCAUCAGAGAAACCUUGCAGCAAGGGAUUGAACUCUGGUCCUUGCACUUGCGCAGCAGGCAGCGAAACCACUGAGCUAAAUCCCUGGUCCUACUUAAGCAACUGCAAGCAUCAUUUUGAGGAUAACAGCCAUGGGAUAGAAAGUUGGAAGGAACCUGGGUCCUGGAUGACAGCAAGGCCACACUGUGUAGAUCCAAAGGAAAUGAAGCCAGCGUCCCAGAGAAACACCUACAUGUCCAUGUUUAUUGUGCUCUACUCAUAAUAGCCAAGGUGUGGACUCUGCCUAAGUGCCUGCCAACAGGUGAAUAGAUGCAGAAAGUAUGGCAUAUAUGCACAGUGGAGUAUUAUUCAGCCAUAAAGAAGAGUGAGAUCCUGUCAUUUGCAGGGAAAUGGGUGGGUCUGGAAGGUCACAAACGUUUCAAGAGACAAAGCUGUAUGGUGCCAGCUAGCUCAACUGCAGAGUGAGAUUCCCAGGUAAGUAACUUGCACUCAAAGUUACCUUUGCUGGGACAUGGUCUUGAGCCCACCUCUUCCCCUGCCACCAUCAUGCGCCUUGUCAGGAGCUCCAAGGAUGGGAGUGGCCUGCUUCACCCAGCCACUCUGAAGCCUUCCAUAUCAUUCUGUCCCUAGCAUCAAUCAAUAUCUAGCACAGUUCUGUGUCACAGGUCUUUCCCCAUAGUAAAUGGCUGUAGUAGAGAAUUAUGUCACAGUGACAAUAUUGUGAGUGUGUGUGUGGGGGGACGACUAAAGAAACUAUGCCAAGGAUAGGGCAUCUCUCUCAGAGUGGACAGGAAGGGAGGAAGGAGAAGAAAAAUCCAUUUUCAU
Molecule: long non-coding RNA, 3330 nt
Filed under: Heterocephalus glaber (naked mole-rat)
Lineage: Eukaryota; Metazoa; Chordata; Mammalia; Rodentia; Bathyergidae
Description: lncRNA (ENSHGLG00100052617.1)
Source: RNAcentral